This 61-nucleotide transfer RNA is filed under the name Cloeon dipterum. RNAcentral describes it as "tRNA-Glu". The record is from RNAcentral. Lineage: Eukaryota; Metazoa; Arthropoda; Insecta; Ephemeroptera; Baetidae.
GUUUAUGUAGUUUAUAAAAAUAACACAUUUUCGUUGUGUAGAUACUUUUAAGUCUUAAAUA